UUUAAUUUUAUUUUUCUUUAUUUUAUUUUACUUUAUUUUUCUUUAUUUUAUUUUUUAAAUUUCAUUUAUUUUAUUUUAUUUUCUCUUAUUUUAUUUUACUUUAUUUUUCUUUAUUUUAUUUUUUUAAUUUCAUUUAAUUUAAUUUUUUUUCAUUUCAUUUCACUUCAUUUAUUUCAUUUAUUCCAUUUCACUUCACCCUUUUCCCCCAACACCUUUUCAGUGUCCUCCCCUUUAUUUCCCCCUCUCCUUUUUCCCUUUUUCCUCCCAAAUCCCUCAGCUUUGGGGAGGGUUCCUGGAAUUCUUCUCCCAUUUUUUUGGGGUGUUUCUGACCUGGGUUCAAGGAAUUAUUUCUGAUUUUUUUGGGGUGUUUCUCACCCGGGUUCCUGGAAUUGUUUCCCAUUUUUUGGGGUGUUUCUGACCCGAGUUCUUGGAAUUAUUUCUGUUUUCUUUGGGGUGUAUCUGACCCGGGUUCCUGGAAUUAUUUCUGGUUUUUUUGGGGUGUUUCUGACCCGGGUUCAAGGAGUUAUUUCCUUUUAUUUUGGGGUGUUUCUGACCUGGGUUCAAGGAAUUAUUUCUGUUUAUUUGGGGUGUUUCUGACCUGGGUUCAAGGAAUUAUUUCUGUUUAUUUUGGGGUGUUUCUGACCCGGGUUCCUGGAAUUAUUUCUGUUUAUUUUGGGGUGUAUCUGACCUGGGUUCCUGGAAUUAUUUCUGUUUAUUUUGGGGUGUUUCUGACCCGGGUUCCUGGAAUUGUUUCCCAUUUUUGGGGUGUUUCUGACCCGUGUCCCCCCAGGAGUCGGGGCUCAAGGUUCACCAGCCGGCCUCGUUCGCCGUCAGCCUCAACGGCGCCCGCGGAGCGCUGGACGCCAAAGUUCACAGUCCCUCGGGGGCCCUGGAGGAAUGUCACAUCUCCGAGGUCACCCCAGAUAAAUACGCCGUGCGCUUCAUCCCGCGGGAGAACGGCGUCUACUCCAUCGACGUGAAGUUCGAGGGCUCCCACAUCCCCGGGAGCCCCUUCAAGGUCCGGGUGGGAGAGCCAGGACAGGCCGGGGAUCCGGGCCUGGUCUCGGCCUAUGGGCCCGGCCUGGAGGGCGGCACCACAGGUAUGGAAUUCUGAGGGGAAAAACCGGGAAUUUGAGGGAAAAACAGGAAUUUUGGGGAUGAGAAAGUGUGGGGGCGUGCCACAGGUACGGAAUUUGGGGGAAAAAAUGGGAAUUUGGGAGGGAAAAAAUAGGAAUUUGAGGAUCUGGGCCUGGUCUCGGCCUACAGGCCCAGCAUGGUGGGUGGUGCCACAGGUACGGAAUUCUGAGGGAAAACUCAGGAAUUUUGGGGGGGUGGGUGGUGCCACAGGUACGGAAUUCUGAGGGAAAACUCAGGAAUUUUGGGGGGAAAAUUGGGAAUUUGGGAGGUUAGGAGGCUGGAAGAAACUACAGGUACCAGGAAUGUAGGGAAAAAUUGGAAUUAGGGGGAAAAAACAGGAAUUUUGGAAAGAUGUGGGAUAGGCCGAGGAUCCGGGCCUGGUCUCAGCCUACAGGCCUGGCCUGGAGGGCGGUACCACAGAUACGGAAUUCUGAGGGAAAAAACUGGGAAUUUUUGGGGAAAACGGAAAAUUUCUGAGUUCUCGGUGCUGUCUGAAUCCCUUUCCCAGUGGGAUUUGGGUGUCAAACGCUCUUUUCCGUGGGAUUUGUCCCUCAGGCUCGGCGGCCGAGUUCGUGGUGAACACGUCCAAGGCGGGCCCGGGCGCUCUGGCCGUGACCAUCGAGGGCCCGUCCAAGGUGACCAUGGAGUGCCAGGAGUGUCCCGAGGGCUUCAGGGUCAGCUACACGCCCAUGGCCCCCGGCAGUUACCUCAUCCACAUCAAAUUCGGGGGGCCCCAUCACAUCGUGGGGAGCCCCUUCAAGGCCAAGGUCACCGGUGAGCGCCGGGGCUGGCGGGAAAGGGAUUUGGGGGGAUUUAAAGGGGUUUGGGGGGGUUUA
RNAcentral lists this long non-coding RNA (1973 nucleotides) under Cyanistes caeruleus (blue tit). Its description in RNAcentral is "lncRNA (ENSCCEG00000002647.1)". Lineage: Eukaryota; Metazoa; Chordata; Aves; Passeriformes; Paridae. The record is from RNAcentral.